RNAcentral lists this ribosomal RNA (2490 nucleotides) under Triticum aestivum (bread wheat). RNAcentral describes it as "partial small subunit ribosomal RNA". The record is from RNAcentral. Lineage: Eukaryota; Viridiplantae; Streptophyta; Magnoliopsida; Poales; Poaceae.
AUGGAGGGGCAUGCCGCGUUGUGGUGUCAAGCCUUCAAACGAGUCCAUGGACUCGGGGACUGGGCUACGUUCACUGCCGCUGUGCAGGCGGAGUUCGGUCAGGACGAGUUUGAUGCACUCCUACACCGCCUUCAUCAUCUGAAGCAAUCAGGCAGUGUCACGGACUACCGUCUCGCCUUUGAGUCCAUCAUGUACCAUCUGAUCGCGCUGGACCCGUCACUCAACAACAAGUUCUUCGUCUCUCAAUUCAUCAUCGGCCUGCGCGACGAUGUCCGCACGAGUGUGCACCAGCACGCGCCCACAAGCGUGUCCAGAGCGGCGGCCCUGGCACGCAUCCAAGAGGAAGAAACCGAGCAGGCCAAGCCACGCGGGCGCCCCGCGAUCUACGCGCGUGCUCUACCGCCACCACCAGUGGCCGCGGUCAUGGCAGGACCAGUUCCACCACGCAACGACGGCGCCAAACGUGGCCCGGAUGACUUCGGCAGAGAGCGCCAACUGCGGGAAUUCAGGCGCGCCAAUGGCUUGUGCUUCAAGUGCGGCGACAAGUACAACAGAGAACACAAGUGCAACAAGAUCGGCCAGCUGCUCACCAUCGAGGUCGGCGAUCACGGUGAACUUCUGUCAGAUGAUGCCAUCCGUGCCCUUGAACUGCUUGAUGAACAUCCAGAAGACGCCGCAACCUGUUACCAGAUUUCAGUUCACGCCGUCGCAGGCACGGAAGCAACCGGAACCAUGCGCCUCCGCGCUCUUGUUGGAAACCAAGUAAUGCUGUUACUGGUGGACUCCGGCAGCACACACACAUUCGUCAAUGCUGCAUUCGCUGCCCGGGCAGGCUGUGUUGUGCAAGCGGCAGAGCCGGUCACUGUGCGUGUGGCCAAUGGCGACACUCUCCAAUCUACACAGCAAGUAUCCCAACUGAAUUGGUGGUGCCAGGGACACACAUUCAGCACUGACAUGCGUCUGCUCGAGCUAGGUGCCUACGAUGCGGUCCUCGGAGUCGAUUGGCUAGCCCAGUUCAGCCCUAUGAACUGUCAUUGGGGACUCAAGACCAUGGAAUUCCGUUAUGACAGUGUUAAUAUCAAGUUACAAGGUGUCCGCACUCCCACCGAGCCUACACUGACAGAGAUGCGAGUGGAUCAGCUAUCCAAGUGGAUUCAGGGCAACGAGGUGUGGGCAUUGGCUGUCGUCCAUGCAGAUACCAAUUCUGCAGCAGCCACUGAUCAAGUGCCACCGCAAUUGCAAGUCCUGUUGGAUGAAUAUGCAGACGUCUUCCAGGAACCCAAAACCUUGCCACCACAUCGCGACUUUGACCACACGAUCCACCUGGAGCCAGGAACAUCACCACCAAAUGUCAGACCCUAUCGAUACUCUCCUCUCCAGAAGGACAAAAUUGAGCGUCAACUGAUGGGGUUGCAACAGAGGCAGACAAGACUGAAGCAAUUCGACAAUGGCCACAACCAACAACAGCAACAGAAUUACCAUAAGAGUUUGUGCAAUCUGGGGGAGCAGCACCUCGGAUCUGAGCUGCAACGCAAAGCAAUGGCGAAGUUGGGCGGCUUGCAAUUCAAAUUCAAGUACCGUAGAGGAGCUGACAAUGUGGCAGCAGAUUCUCUGUCUCAGAUUGGUCAUUUGCUGACCAUCCAGGCCACAUCUACUUGUCAACCUUCGUGGAUCCAGGAGGUUAGAAACUCCUAUGUCACUGACGCUAAGGCAACCCAAUUACUGCAAGCUCUGGCUGUGCACAGUCCCGAUGAACAAGGCCAUGAACUGGACCGGGGCUUGAUCAAAUACAAAGGCCGCCUUUGGAUUGGGGACAACGCUGCUAUGCAGACCAAGCUGAUUACGGAGAUGCACACGGCGGCAGUCGGUGGCCACUCCGGCAUCCGCCCAACCCACCACAGCGCCCUCGGAUGCACACCAUUCAAAGCCCUGUACGGUGUGGAUCCCAACUUCGGUGCCCUUCCCAACCUGUUCAACUCCAGGACGCCAGACUCCUUGCACGAACUCGCAGCUGAGCACCAACAAUUCACAGAGAUGCUCAAGACUCACCUCUUGCGGGCACAGCACAGGAUGAAGCAUCAAGCUGAUCGCAAGCGGACAGAGCGCGAAUUCUCCAUUGGCGACCAAGUGUUAUUGAAGCUUCAGCCAUACGUUCAAUCAUCCGUUCUGCCAGCACCACCGGAUCUCACAGUCGGUGACCUGAUUCCACAAGCAAUCCUCGAGCGCAGACUUGUCAAGAAAGGUAACGCGGCAAUUCCUCAAGUGCUCGUUCAUUGGCGUACUCUGUCUCCAGCAAGCGCAACAUGGGAGAACUACAACGUCCUCAAGCAGCGAUUUCCCGAGGUCGACCUAGCCGAGGGGGAUCCAUCUCAAGAAGGGGCGAAUGUCACGAACUCCUCUCCAUCUAACCAGCCUGACGAGGAGGCGGACAGCGAGGCACCAGUGCCACAGCGGGAGGAAUCAGAGAGCCAAGAAGAUGGAGAAGAGUAG